This is a long non-coding RNA of Bubalus bubalis (water buffalo), 2401 nucleotides long. RefSeq lists it as uncharacterized. The transcript has 4 exons. The record is from RefSeq and is a predicted model, not a curated record. NCBI's taxonomy places the organism in Eukaryota, Metazoa, Chordata, Mammalia, Artiodactyla, Bovidae.
AGGAUGGAACCCAGGUCUCCUGCAUCUCCUGCAUUGGCAGGCUGAAUCUUUACCACUUGAGCUACCUGGGAAGCCCCCCUGUUUUCUCUUAAAAGGACGCUAAUCCGAUAUGAUCAGGGCUUCACCUGUGUGACUUCAUUUAACCCCAAUUACUUCCUUUCUCCAAACAGUCACACUGGAGGGUUAGGGCUUCAGUGUAUGAUUUGGGGAGGAGGGUGCAGCCGGGUGGGGAUACACAUGCAUUCAGUCCAUCAUGUAUAGAAUAGUCUGAGAAGGCAUCUCUGAUAAGAUGGGGCAGCCAGCUUUCAAGACGGCCCUUGGUGAGCCUCACCUCCCUGGUGUCUAUACCCUUGUGUAGACACAAUAAAUCAGGGAUAGCCCCUUGGCCUGUAAUAAAAGCUGUUACCCUCAUCAUCAUUAUUAUUAAUGCCACUGUUUUCUCUCCCUCUGCAGUAACACAGAUGCCCCAUCAAUCUCACUUCCAUCUGGGCUUGCUUAACCCUUUAGCCUGAGUUUGCUUGGAAGCAUGACCAUGCUGACAGCUGAGAUUUUAAAAAACCUGGAGCAACAGGAAACCCACACAUUUUGGUUUUGGGGGUGACUCCCUCUGGGGCAAGCCACGCUUCAAGUCAGGAGGACACUGAAGUAGCCUUGGGAGAGGACCAUGUGGAGAGGAAUUCAGAACCCCCUCCAGGCUCUGAUCUGUCAGAUGUGUGAAUAAACCACCACGGGAGAGGAACCUCCAGCCCCAGUCAAGCCUUCAGAUGACUAGCCCCAGCUCAAAGCUGCACUCCAGUCUCAUGGGAAACCCUUAGCCAGAGCCACACAGCCAUUCCGGCCCUGACUUUCUAAUCCACAGAAAAGGCUAGAUCAUGAAGGUGGAAGAGAGCCAGCAUCAGCCAUAAGGACAUUCAAGGAGAUUACAGGGCAAUGAGAUGGAAGGCAUCAAGGUCUCUGAAUGUCUUUGUGAAGCAAAACCACCCUACCUGCAAAAGUACCCUUCAUUCUUCUUUGGGUUUCAGAGGCUGUGUCCUUCCUUCACUGCCUAAAGUACAGCCUUAAAUCCUAACACAGCCUCGGAGGAGCAGUAUGGCCUUGGGCAAGCUUCUUACCUUCUCAGAAUCUAGUCUGCAAGAGAGUAGUUGGAAGGAUUUGUCAAAAGGAGCGAGUACAGGACAUCUUUAUGAUCCAGGGAUCAAACCUGCGUUUCCUGCCUUGGCAGCCGGAUUCUUUACCACUGAGACACCAGGGAAAACUCCUCGGCCUCUAUCUGAGGAUAUAUUCGGGGCCAUACACGGUGAGUGUCACCUCCCAAAUUGCGUCUCCCUGAUGACAAUGUGCCAGUGACACAGGAUGGAGCCCAAGCCCUCUUCCACACACCUGCUUGUCCAGUGCAUUUGGUGAGAGGCAGAGUGGCCUAUGAGUAGCCGACUCCCAGCAUCCUGGUGCCCAAGAAUCAGCUCCAGAUCCUUCUCCACCAGUUUGCCCCCAGGAUCCACAAGCAAACUGACUCUGGCAUUUGGAGUUCUCUCUUUGGAGCCCUCAGGCUUAAAAGUCACUCUUGUGAAAGCCCUAAAGUGAAAGCCGCUCAGUCAUGUCUGACUCUUUGCAACCCCAUGGACUGUCCACGGAAUUCUCCAGGCCACAAUAAAUACUGGAGUGGGUAGCCUUCCCCUUCUCCAGGGGACCUUCCCAACCCAGGGAUCGAACCCAGGUCUCCCACAUUGCAGGCGGAUUCUUUACCAGCUGAGCCACAAGAGAAGCCCAAAAGCUCCAAAGCCCAGCUAUAUUGUGGUGCAGUCAUGCAUCCAUUAAAACAACAAUCCAGCAACCAAAAAGUAAUUUUUAAUUAGCAUUUUACUGCAGUUUCUCUCAAAGAACACCAAAGAGAAAAUACAGAAGAACUUGUUAGAAAUUCUCUUUUCCUUUUCUUUCAUUUCCAAUUAUUCCCCAAACCCUGCUGCUGUCCCAAAGACUCUCAGCCUUCUCUCUAAAGCAAGACAUACACACAUGCACACACUUGCACACAGCCUACCAGAGGUACACCAGAGCUGGCUUGCCUCAGCUUGAAAGAGCCAGUUGUUCAAUUUUCAGGAAUUUUGCCAGUCAGUUGUUCAAUGCGGCCAUUAUUAAAAAUUAAAUUAUAGACACUUACAACAAUAAAUUAUACACCAAAGUGAUAAAUAUGCAAUACUCAGAGGAAGAAAGGAAUGAACAUGGAACAACAUGAGUGAAUCUCAAAAUAGUUACACCGAAGCCAGGCAAAGCAAGAGUGCAGACGGAAUGAUUCCAUGUAUAGAAAAAAAUCACCCUUGUAGUGACAGAAAGCCAGAUGAGCGGGCAUCUGAGGGUGGGGCUGGGAGGCAGGGGAAGGGACAGCUUAUAAAGAGACAUGAGGGGA